This 26-nucleotide non-coding RNA is filed under the name Rattus norvegicus (Norway rat). Lineage: Eukaryota; Metazoa; Chordata; Mammalia; Rodentia; Muridae. The record is from RNAcentral.
UGGGAACAUUGCCAUUUAAAAGAGGA